GAAUUCGAUUCAGGCCUAACACAUGCAAGUCGAACGCCCAGCAAUGGGAGUGGCAGACGGGUGAGGAACACGUGGGAACGUGCCUUUUGGUUCGGAAUAACUCAGGGAAACUUGUGCUAAUACCGGAUAAGCCCUUCGGGGGAAAGAUUUAUCGCCAAAAGAUCGGCCCGCGUCUGAUUAGCUAGUUGGUGAGGUAACGGCUCACCAAGGCGACGAUCAGUAGCUGGUCUGAGAGGAUGAUCAGCCACAUUGGGACUGAGACACGGCCCAGACUCCUACGGGAGGCAGCAGGGGGGAAUAUUGGACAAUGGGGGCAACCCUGAUCCAGCCAUGCCGCGUGAGUGAUGAGGGUCUUCGGAUUGUAAAGCUCUUUUGGCGGGGACG
RNAcentral lists this ribosomal RNA (384 nucleotides) under uncultured bacterium. Its description in RNAcentral is "bacterial SSU rRNA". It matches the Rfam family "Bacterial small subunit ribosomal RNA", at positions 39 to 447 of the family's 1533-position model. The record is from RNAcentral.